This 406-nucleotide ribosomal RNA is filed under the name uncultured bacterium. Its description in RNAcentral is "partial 16S ribosomal RNA". It matches the Rfam family "Bacterial small subunit ribosomal RNA", at positions 29 to 526 of the family's 1533-position model. The record is from RNAcentral.
AUUGAACGCUGGCGGCAGGCCUAACACAUGCAAGUCGAGCGAGCGGCGGACGGGUGAGGAAUGUCUGGGAAACUGCCUGUUGGAGGGGGAUAACUACUGGAAAAGGUAUCUAAUACCGCAUACCAUCAGAUUUGCCCAGAUGGGGUUAGCUGGUAGGUGGGGUAACGGCGACCCUAGGCGACGAUCCCUAGCUGGUCUGAGAGGAUGACCAGCCACCCUGGAACUGGGACACGGUCCAGAUUCCUACGGGAGGAGGAGGUGGGGAAUAUUGCACAAUGGGCGCAAGCCGGAUGCAGCCAGGCCGCGUGUGUGAAGAAGGCCUUCGGGUUGUAAAGCACUUUCAGCGGGGAGGCGUUACCUGCAGAGAAAGCACCGGCUAACUCCGUGCCAGCAGCCGCGGUAAUUC